GCGCACCAGGCGAGAAUUUUUCACAAUGGGGGAAACCCUGAUGGAGCGACGCCGCGUGGAGGAUGAAGGCGUUUUCGUCGUAAACUCCUGUCAUGCGAGAACAAGAAAGUGAUAGUAUCGCAAGAGGAAGAGGCGGCUAACUCUGUGCCAGCAGCCGCGGUAAUACAGAGGCCUCAAGCGUUGUUCGGAUUCAUUGGGCGUAAAGGGUGCGUAGGUGGCAUGGUAAGUUGAAGGUGAAAUCUCGGAGCUCAACUCCGAAACUGCCUUCAAUACUGCUGUGCUCGAGGACUGUAGAGGAGAAUGGAAUUCACGGUGUAGCAGUGAAAUGCGUAGAUAAUCGUGAGGAAGACCAAGUGGCGAAGGCGAUUCUCUGGGCAGUUCCUGACACUGAGGCACGAAGGCUAGGGGAGCAAACGGGAUUAGAUACCCCUGUAG
RNAcentral lists this ribosomal RNA (435 nucleotides) under uncultured organism. Its description in RNAcentral is "bacterial SSU rRNA". It matches the Rfam family "Bacterial small subunit ribosomal RNA", at positions 346 to 793 of the family's 1533-position model. The record is from RNAcentral.